Molecule: ribosomal RNA, 102 nt
Filed under: Staphylococcus aureus
Lineage: Bacteria; Bacillati; Bacillota; Bacilli; Caryophanales; Staphylococcaceae
Description: partial 16S ribosomal RNA
Rfam family: Bacterial small subunit ribosomal RNA
Source: RNAcentral
UUUAUGGAGAGUUUGAUCCUGGCUCAGGAUGAACGCUGGCGGCGUGCCUAAUACAUGCAAGUCGAGCGAACGGACGAGAAGCUUGCUUCUCUGAUGUUAGCG